GCCAGUGGUGAACUCCACAUCCGCAUCCUUUGCUGAGGAUACGGUUAACGGAGCGAAAGCGACGUUCAACCGCAAAACAAGCAGAGGGGGCUUAGUGGUGGGGUGACUGCGUACCUUUUGUAUAAUGGGUCAGCGACUUAUAUUCUGUAGCAAGGUUAACCGAAUAGGGGAGCCGGAGGGAAACCGAGUCUUAAUUGGGCGUUAAGUUGCAGGGUAUAGACCCGAAACCCGGUGAUCUAGCCAUGGGCAGGUUGAAGGUUGGGUAACACUAACUGGAGGACCGAACCGACUAAUGUUGAAAAAUUAGCGGAUGACCUGUGGCUGGGGGUGAAAGGCCAAUCAAACCGGGAGAUAGCUGGUUCUCCCCGAAAGCUAUUUAGGUAGCGCCUCGUGAAUUCAUCUCCGGGGGUAGAGCACUGUUUCGGCUAGGGGGCCAUCCCGGCUUACCAACCCGAUGCAAACUGCGAAUACCGGAGAAUGUUAUCACGGGAGACACACGGCGGGUGCUAACGUCCGUCGUGAAGAGGGAAACAACCCAGACCGCCAGCUAAGGUCCCAAAGUCAUGGUUAAGUGGGAAACGAUGUGGGAAGGCCCAGACAGCCAGGAUGUUGGCUUAGAAGCAGCCAUCAUUUAAAGAAAGCGUAAUAGCUCACUGGUCGAGUCGGCCUGCGCGGAAGAUGUAACGGGGCUAAACCAUGCACCGAAGCUGCGGCAGCGAACGUAUCACCCAAGACAACUUUACGGAGUUGACGAUUGACGGAGCGAAGCGACGUCAAAGCGUUCAUUAAAGUCGAGUUGGCUUAGGGAUACGUUCGUUGGGUAGGGGAGCGUUCUGUAAGCCUGUGAAGGUGUGUCGUGAGGCAUGCUGGAGGUAUCAGAAGUGCGAAUGCUGACAUAAGUAACGAUAAAGCGGGUGAAAAGCCCGCUCGCCGGAAGACCAAGGGUUCCUGUCCAACGUUAAUCGGGGCAGGGUGAGUCGACCCCUAAGGCGAGGCCGAAAGGCGUAGUCGAUGGGAAACGGGUUAAUAUUCCCGUACUUGGUGUUACUGCGAAGGGGGGACGGAGAAGGCUAUGUUGGCCGGGCGACGGUUGUCCCGGUUUAAGCGUGUAGGUGUGUGUUCCAGGUAAAUCCGGUUCACUUUAACACUGAGGCGUGACGACGAGGCACUACGGUGCUGAAGCAACAAAUGCCCUGCUUCCAGGAAAAGCCUCUAAGCAUCAGGUAACAUCAAAUCGUACCCCAAACCGACACAGGUGGUCAGGUAGAGAAUACCAAGGCGCUUGAGAGAACUCGGGUGAAGGAACUAGGCAAAAUGGUGCCGUAACUUCGGGAGAAGGCACGCUGACACGUAGGUGAAGUGAUUUACUCAUGGAGCUGAAGUCAGUCGAAGAUACCAGCUGGCUGCAACUGUUUAUUAAAAACACAGCACUGUGCAAACACGAAAGUGGACGUAUACGGUGUGACGCCUGCC
This 1473-nucleotide ribosomal RNA is filed under the name Salmonella enterica subsp. enterica serovar Typhimurium. Its description in RNAcentral is "partial 23S ribosomal RNA". It matches the Rfam family "Bacterial large subunit ribosomal RNA", at positions 1 to 1863 of the family's 2925-position model. Lineage: Bacteria; Pseudomonadati; Pseudomonadota; Gammaproteobacteria; Enterobacterales; Enterobacteriaceae. The record is from RNAcentral.